GUCAGUCCACGCUGCUUUCAUCAGUAUUUUACUAAACACAGUCAGUAUCACAGAUCCAGGGUCUGUGCUACCAAGCAGGAUUUGUGGUUAUCAGGUUAACUUCAGGUUUAGUUUUUUCAGUCCUACAAAGCUCGUCCACUUCUUAACCAGGUAAAUCACCAUGUCCUCAGAGACGGUGAGUGUCUUUUUCUCUUCCACUCAUCUUGUUAGUAAACAACAGAUUCAGAUCUCGUGGCCUCGAGUUAUUUGUCUUGUUCACAAACGUUAUUAUGUCGUGGUCACGUAAUAUAUUUUUACCAGAUGCCACCAGGGGGCGCUGUAACUUACACAUUAACACGAUCCAGAUGUUUUACCAACUGUUCUUCCUGCAUUUAGCAGCUGUGACUGAGUUUCUUUUAUUCUGGAUCAUGUGUUCUUUCUCCUCUGAUUUUUAUUAUAGAACAGUUUGAUCCUGGUUGUGAAAUAUGAGGCUCUGCUGUCAGUCAAACUGUCCAUGUCUGUGAUUGGUCAUACACAGUAAACCCCGCCCCUUUUAUGUGCACGCUCAGAUCUCGAUGAGGAAAACCUGAGUUAACUUAACGAGUUGAUAACCAGCGUCAUGUGACCACUUAGCCUGACUGUGUGUGUCAGGUUCAGUUGAGCUGAUCUCAGAAAGAUCUCCUGGACAUGUUGAAGUGUCUUCGUAGUUCAGGCCUCAGUGUUUCCUCAGUGAAGCUGUGAGAGGACAAUGAGGACAGACGUCAGGAUUGGACAGAGACACAGAGAGACAACAGUCAGCCAAUCAGACGAGCCACAAGCUGCUUGGGAUCAUGUGACUGAGUUGACGUGAAGACGACAGUUGUUGUUGUUUUCAUGUGACCAGGAAAUGAAGCUGGACCACAACUGACAGCCUCACACGAGGGACAGAGACGGUGUCGUCUUCAUCUGAUCUGAGACAGUUUGUCCUCUCACUUCAUCAGUGAAGAACUGAUCAGGUGGAUCUUUGUCACAGCUCUGAGAUCAGUGGGACUGAAGCCUCUCCUCAUCACAUGGUGGAAGGUGGGGUCUGAGUCUGAGUCUGAGUCUGAGUGUAGCUGAGUGUGAAGAGGACAGUGUGUGUGGACGGAGGCUGAGCUGUGUCCUGAGGAUCCAGAGGCUGAAGCAGCAGCAGCUUGUGUGUAGAGUGGCUCUGACUGGGCCUUGUUACUGGGAGGCAGAGUGGAGACAGAGCUCCAGAGGAAUCAGAGGAGGUGGUUGUAAUAUGUAUUUUCACCACUAGAUGGCCCUCCACACCGAUUGUGUUUAUUCACAUGAAGAAUGUGUUUAUUGACAUGACACAACACAAGCAGAAUAUAUAACCCCUCUAUAAAGAGUCACAUAUAUGUGUUUCCUUUAUUCUGUUCCACAUUUGUCCCUCAGUCUGUCUCCAUGUGUGUAGAACCACAUUCUGUUUGUUUAUGAUCUUAAAGUUCCUGGAUUCACGUCACAAAUUGAUUUAGUUCAACACAAAGUUCAACACAAUCAAAUCACUUUGAGUUUUAAAUCAGAGUUUUGUCUUUAACACAAAAGAUCAAAACUCUGGACUUAAAAAUGGGACAUUUUCAUUUCUGCAUCAGGUGCAGAGCGGUGGUGUCUUUUCUACUUUUGACCCACAGGUGGCGCUGCAGUAUAACAGCAGCACAUCCCAGUCAAAGCCUUUAUAUUCAGUCUAUGAGUCAAACACAUGGAUCAUUUCCUCUGUGACAAACCAGAUGUAACGAGAAGAAAAACAUCUCAGAGAGAAAAGUUCUGUUUCUACUUGUCUCUGCUUUAAUGCUCAAUAAACAUCCUUCCACCGAC
Long non-coding RNA from Pleuronectes platessa (European plaice), 1818 nucleotides. RefSeq lists it as uncharacterized. The record is from RefSeq and is a predicted model, not a curated record. NCBI's taxonomy places the organism in Eukaryota, Metazoa, Chordata, Actinopteri, Pleuronectiformes, Pleuronectidae. The transcript has 2 exons.